AUGGUAUUAAUCUUCCUUUCGUCCUUUUGAUCAUUUCCUUGCGAAAUUUUGAGUCUGUAGCAAGUAAUUUGCCAUGAUGCUGUUGCGAAUUUGAAUAAACAUCAACACUCAAACACUCUCAAAUUGAAUUUGCUCGGACUUGCUUUAUUCCUAUUCACUUUCCUUCUGUACUAAUGAUGUUGGGAUGGUAUUGUUGUUUAAAGAUAAAAUAUAGAAGCAUGUUGAAGUGUGGGAUUUGUUCAUGUCACUUACUUUAUUUUCUUUUUUCUUAUAUGCCUCUACUAAUUAGUCCUCCCCAUUACUUGGAUUUCAUUAAAAGUUAAUAUUGGUUGAAUUUGCUCAUGGUGGUUGAUUAGGGAUUUGGCUUUGAAAAAAAAAAGGAUAGUCUCAUAUGGUUUGGUGUUAAAUUUCUUGUUAUAGUUUCAUGGUUAAUAACUCCCUGUAACUAAAAAAUUCUCAUAAAAUUGUAAAAUUUAAGUUUGAAAGCUUGCCAUCUCUCUUGUUAAUAUCCUCACACCCUCAUGUACACCUGUAUUUUAGUCACUAAGUUAGUAUAGGAGUUGCUUGUUUUGUUCUUGUGUGUUCCCAGUGAGUUUUACAUGAUUCCCCUGGCAACAAAUGGAGGGCAACUAGUAAAGGAUGCAGUUCGUUAAUUAUCCUCGUUUGGUGAAAAUUUCAAACUAAAGACCUCGAUAUUUAUAAACAUGGGUCGCGUUUUUUUCCCCCUUAUGAAUGAACAACUAGAAGAGAUUAGCUAAUUGUUAAUUAUGUUCUAAAACCUUUAAACUAGAAAUCUUCUGGAUUAUGGUAUUCUCAUCGGUCUUUUGGGUUUGAGAGUUUGAUACAAGAAAAAUAAGAGGAACACGAAACAGCCACAAAACAGUCCAAUACAUCCUCCAAAACAGUCCACAAAUCACAACAAAUCGUGGACCAAAUGGAGACCUCACUCGGAUUCGACAAAUACAACAAGAAUACAAGAAACAAAGGUGUAUUUGACACCCAAAACAGCCACAAAUCGUGAAGAACAAGAUGACAACAAGAACACAAAUUUUCGGAUUCAACAAGACAAAAAAACGGCACUACAAACAAUAACAAGAUUACAAGAAUAAAAGGAUAGAUAGUGAGAUAUAGAUUUGUUACAAGAUUUAAGAACAAAGUGUGAUUCAAAUACUAAACCCCUAAUUAAUGUAACAACAACGCCACUCUUACGGUGACUGCCAAGGGAAUCACUCACCUUAAGAUCCACCGUUUCCAAGCAAAGAACAAUAUUGGCUUUUCCAAGCCUUAUACUAAGGAUGCCCUAACUAAGAACUAUACUAAGGUGUUGCACUCUCCAAAGAGAGAAUAAGUCUUUCAAAUGUUCAUUAUUCAUUAACUCAAGAGAUAUGACCUAAAAUAGACUAUAUAUAGUAUAUUACAAAAGAAAGAUAAAAUGACUCCAAUGCCCUUAAUGAGGUGGGUGGCAAUGGAGUGUCAUUUAGACAAGGCUAAAGAACAAAAUGACCUUGAGGCUAAGUGACCAAAAUGACCUUAAUAAAAGGGGCCAAAACCGUGAACCAUCAAAUGUGCUCCAAACCCGUGAAUUCUAUAAUCUUCAAGGCUCCAAGCAAUUUUCCACACACGGGUUUGUUUGAUGGUAUGCUCAAAAUAACCCCUACAAGUAUGAUCGUAUGCCCUCCAUGGGACCAAAGCUUGAUUCUUCAUGUAGUGACUUUGAAUGAUGCCAUCGAAAGUUAAGGCGUCCAUUUCACUUGUAUCAUCCUCCCCUUCUUGAAAAGGAUUCGACCUCGAAUCCGUACCUUGCAAAACAAGAGAAAGGACAAACAAGCACCACAUCCUUAUGGAAUGAGGGUUAGGGUUACCACAAUUAUAAACAUCAUCACGCCAAUGGGGUACAUACUUGAAGUAUAACCAAGAAUCCUUUGAAGUGAGUAUUAAAAACUCAAUGAAAGAUGUACAAAGGAUUUGGUUAUGAGAUACACCAAGAGUACUUUGCUUGCCAUGUAGACAAAGCAACAAGUUGGGUGCACCAACAUCACCCUUUCUACAUUUGGCACCGGGGUCAAAUGGGAAAAGUGGCCAUAGACACGGGUCUAGACAACACUCCCCUUUCUGUGGUCUACACCCAAACUAAAUGACAUACUCUCUAUAAUAGCAUACAUAUCAUCCAAAGCAAAUAGAGAGUAGAGAAAGGUAUCACUCAAAUCGACUUCUACCAAGGUGCCUUCAUGUGUGUACUCCCUACUAGUUUCCCAAUAAUAACCAUGAGUACUCUCAACAAUAAAGUCACACAAAGUAAAAGAAGAAGUAGCUUCCGCAACUACACCUAAGAGUACUCUCUUCUUCCAAGAAGAGAUUUCCAUCUUUAGGAGUAAUGUUGUCACACCAAAGUGGGUUAGCAUAUAGGCUAUAGCUUCCAAGGCAAGCUAUACCAUCAUUUUUCACCACUAGCUUUAUUAGAAGUGUUUAGAUCAUCUUCAAAUAAGAUAUUACACCUAAAGAGAGUGUGAUCUACCUCACAGACAGAUUUGGAAUAAGCAAGUUCCUCACACUCUAAAUGAUUAAUAUCAAGUUUCAAGGAUGUUCCAAACACAAGAUUACCCCAAUAAGAGAUCUCGGGUUCACUCCCACUUUGUUGACCAACAUUUUCAAAUACUUCACUCACUUGAGUUCUAUUAAGUACAUCACACACAUACUUAAGUGGGGGACAAUUUUCACAAACAAGUUGAUCAACACCAAUUACAUAAGACGAUGUACUUCCGUUCAACGUAUAUGCUUCAACACUAGGUGGACAUAUAUUGAUCUUACAAGAAGAUUCAAUUUCGUCAUCAAUAGGAUUAACUAGUGUAUCCAAACUCACAAUAUGUACAUCAUCAACAAGAGACAAGGAAUCAUUAGACUUAUAAAUAAGCAAGCUACUACUUACACUCAAUGGCUUACUAGCUACACAAUUCUCAUUCACAUGCACUAAAGUGUAAGAGUUAGCUAUUUUACCUUUAAGAUCUUGAGUAGACUCUUCCUUGCCAUGAGGUGAAGGUCCUCUACAAGCUUGGGCAGCAACGUUCUUUUGGCAUUGUUCGUCUUCGCUUGCUAUGUUGGUACCUACACAAAUGUCCUUAGAAUUGGAAGGACAACCAAUGUUAGCACGGUUUGGUGGCAAUCCCCUCACUUCGCUCCACAUAUCCUCUCUUUUUUCCACUCUCGAAUUACCACCUUGCACUCCCUUACUCCUCUCAAUCUUUUGUCUCUCAUCAUAAAUCAGAUUGGAGUAGGUAAGCAUGUCCCUUUGCAGUUUGGGUAGCAAGUAUGUUAUGAGGCGAUUUCCCCAUUGGUCUCUUAUAACAUUAGGCCAAUUUUGCAUAUUAGGAACUUGAUGUCGCGCAAACCAAUUGGCACCCAAGCUCAUAUGACCAUAGGUUAAGGAAAAAACAUCGCACCACACCUCCUUAUGAUAAUCAAAUUGGGAGAAGACAACUUUUACCCUCUCGGUAACCUUGAACUCGCCCAAGUAGUAUGGAACAAGUAAAGGCUCUCGAAAUAACCCCAAGUAGUCAACCAUGGACGGAAGAAUGUAGUUUCCAUAGUACCUAUCAUUCAACACCAUAAGGCAGCCUGGUAUCCCACAAAUAGUCACCUUUUGGGAGUGUACACUCCUCCUUGGAUCAACAUUGUAAGGCAUACGAGUACCCAUCGAUUUUGAAGAUGCUUACCUUCUUCUUCUUAUGGGACAACCUCUACUAUAGCUAGUAUAACCAAUCAUACUAUGUCGACCUUGAUAAGAAGUACUACAAGGUAAAGAAUAUGAUCUUUCACACUCUACACGCGUACUCUCAUCAUAGCUCUCAUAAGCUUUACGAAUGAAGGGUUAUACCUAACACCAAAUGUAGGUUCAAAGUGGGAAGUAUAAGACUCUUCACAUGCCCCAACUUCAUCAUAAGAACCAUCAAGAGGUCCUACAUCAUCUCCAAAUUCACCAUAAGCACUAGGCACAUCAUUCCCUCAUUUUCUCCCCUAAACCCGAGACCCUCAAAUCUGCCUAAGUUUUGAUCAUAGCUAUUUUCAUAUCCCCCACAAUCUCCCUCAAAUUCGUAGCCAUAAAACCCCUCACUACAAUCAUAGUCUCCCAUGUUGUAGUCACAAUAAUCCCCGGAUAUCGAAGACAUAUUCCCCUUAUAUCACCUUUGUACCUACAGAAUGAACAAACAAGAUUAGUAGUAAAGCUUCUCACUAACACUCGUAUACACUCACCUUUGUGAUUCUCACAAUUGGAGCAGCGAAUAUUGAAAGUUGCUUAUACUCCGGUAGUCAAUAGAAUGCCAAUUCUACUUAGCGGUCGGAAUAGAUUCUUGUUUGAUCGACUCAAGACACAAAAAUAAAAUUUACUUACGAACUUGAAACAAAGAAGUUAGUACGAGUUAAAAAUGAGAAAAAGCACACAAAUAACGAAGACACGAAAGGAACGGAUUCAACAAUUAAUCUACAACUAAGUAGCUUAUUACUAGUUGUUAAUUAAUUCUAGAAUCAAGACAGGAAACUAAGGAAACAAUAAAGUGAAACUAAUAAUCUAAAAUUUGAGCCAAAGAUGCAUGAACUGUAACUUGAUGACGUGAACGCCACGUAUUGGUUGCGGUUUCUACAAUUUUUAUUUUCCAAAGCCCAAGUCUUGACCAAUUUUAAUUUGGAUGGGUGAAAUUUGUUUUAAGGAGGGAAGAAUAAGUCUUGAGCCUUUUUUUUUUUAAGUUUCAAAUUUUAAGACUUGACUUUUGUAGUACUUUUCCUAAAAACAUGAACACUUGUUUUUUUGGAAAAGUGAUUGAGAUGUGAUUGACUUGUUGGUGAGUGAUGGUAAGUCUUUUAAGACUAACAAAGUUCUCACACUUUUUUCUUCACCUUUUUGGAUCUAGCUUUCACUUUAUUUUAACAAGGUAUGACGGUUUGGAAGAACAUCAAGAACACUUCAACAAUCUCCCAAGAACAACAACAAUUCUGCAACAAAAAGGUCAACUACAAACUUCCAACAAACGGCCAAGUCCUUUAGUGUGGUGUUUUGGUCUUAACAAGGGGUGAAGAUUAGGAUGAACAAUAAGAACACAAGAACUUUUCAAGAACAAUAACAACACCAAAAACGUCCAGCCCAAGUCCACAAGAAAGGUCACCACACGGCCAAGAACAACAACAUCAAUACACGGCCAAUAACUUGUUCACAACAACCAUCUCAACAAUUCAAGCUCAAUUUUAGAUCUAGACUCAAGAGUGUUAGAGAAGAAGAAAGCUAACACUAGAAACAAGAAAUCAAACAAAAGAACACCUAGAUCUAGACUCAACUUUUCAGCCAAGACAACAAGAAGAAGAAUCCAACUUCUCGGCCAAGGACACAAUGUUUUUUUUUGUAUUUUUCAACUACCAAACCCAAGAUUGGUCUUGCAGGAACAAGAUCAAGUCAUGCUUUGAUAAUAAAUGAUACAAGACAAACAAGAGGAACACGAAAUAGCCAUAAAACAGUCCAAUACACCCUCCAAAACAGUCCACAAAUCACAACAAAUCGUGGAUCAAAUGGAGACCUCACUCAGAUUCGACAAAUACAACAAGAAUACAAGAAACAAAGGUGUAUUUGACACCCAAAACAACCACAAAUCAUGAAGAACAAGAUGACAACAAGAAUACAAAUUUUUGAAUUCAACAAGACACAAAAACAAUCCACUACAAACAAUAACAAGAUUACAAGAAUAAAAUGAUAGAUAGUGAGAUAUAGAUUUGUUACAAGACUUAGGAAAAAAGUGUGAUUCAAACACUAAACCCCUAAUUAAUGUAACAACAACAUCACACUCUUACGGUGACCGCCAAGGGAAUCACUUACCUCAAGAUCCACCGUUUCCAAGCAAAAAACAAUAUUGGCUUUUCCAAGCCCUAUACUAAGGAUGACUUUUCCAAGCCCUAACUAAGAACUAUACUAAGGUGUUGCACUCUCCAAAGAGAGAAUAAGUCUUUCAAAUGUUCAUCAUUCAUUAACUAAAGAGAAAUGACCUAAAAUAGACUAUACAUAGUACAUUACAAAAGAAGAUAAAAUGACUCCAAUGCCCUUAAUGAGGUAGGUGGCAAUGGAGUGUCAUUUAGACAAGGCUAAAGGACCAAAAUAACCUUGAGGCUAAGUGACCAAAAUGACUUUAAUAAAAAUGGUCAAAACCGUGAAAUCAAAUGUGGUCCAAACCCAUGAGUCCUCUAGUCUUCAAGGCUCCAAGCAAUCUUCCACACACGGGUUUGUUUGAUGGAAUGCUCAAAAUAACCCCUACAAGUAUGAUCCCGUGCCCUCCAUGGGACCAAAGCUUGAUUCUUCAUGUAGUGACUUUGAAUGAUGCCAUCGAAAGCUAAGGCGGCCAUUUCACUUGUAUCAGAGUUUAAGUAUCAUUAAUAUUUGCCUAUUCUAUAGAAACUAUGUUUUAAGUAAUCAUCACUAAAUAUGUAAAAUCUAAUAUUCACAUCAAAUUUGCUAUGAUGGAAUUAGUUAGGAGAACAUAUAUAUUUACUGAAUACAUAUAUAUUUACUGAAUACGGUCAGUUUGUAAUGAGGGAUGUUAUGUUAUUUUAGUAUAAUGUGAGUGGUUUGCUUAAAACCUCUCGUUUCGGGGGCCAUUAUCGGAUUAUUCUCUCUGUAGUGGUCAUUUAUGUUAUAUUAUUUCAUCCCGACGUCGAAUAAUGUUUGUUUAGGUUACUAAUCCUUGUCCUUUUAUUUUACAUGUGAACUUGGAAG
Molecule: long non-coding RNA, 6748 nt
Filed under: Capsicum annuum
Lineage: Eukaryota; Viridiplantae; Streptophyta; Magnoliopsida; Solanales; Solanaceae
Description: long non-coding RNA (CANN_LNC022299)
Source: RNAcentral